UGUCCAUGAGAUGUUGUCAAACAAAGUCUUCGAAAUUCAGCUAAGGUAGUCAUCUUGGGGCAGCUUAAAUACCACACAUGCAACUUUGUCCGUUCUUUCCUACAUCGAAAAACCACAUACACCACAGAGCACUACUGAUAGAACUUCUAAAAAGAUUAAACCUUUGGAAAUAAGUGAGGUAGAAGUCAUGGCAACAACUACUGCAGCUGGUUCUUCAAAUCCAAUGCCAAAAUUUGAACCACCCACACCAACCAAAAAGGUGUAAAAGGAACUCUGUCAUGCCAUUUUGUCACUUUUGCUUAUAAUAGGGACAAUACAAUGAAUGACUCUCCCUAUGCUCUGGUUUUUUGCAUGAGGAACAUUAUCUAUGGAGAAGCAAACUGCAGCAUCCUCUAAAUAUGUCAUAAACAAUGACAUGCUAAUCUUAUUUAGCAAAACUGCAACAUGUACUAUAUUAUUUUGCUUAUAUUACAUUACUUAGUAUGUGCAAAUCGUUAAAAU
Molecule: long non-coding RNA, 501 nt
Organism: Solanum tuberosum (potato)
Lineage: Eukaryota; Viridiplantae; Streptophyta; Magnoliopsida; Solanales; Solanaceae
Exons: 2
Source: RefSeq, a predicted model, not a curated record